AUUGAACGCUGGCGGCAGGCCUAACACAUGCAAGUCGAGCGGAGCGGCGGACGGGUGAGUAAUGCCUAGGAAUCUGCCUGGUAGUGGGGGAUAACGUCCGGAAACGGGCGCUAAUACCGCAUACUCUUAGAAGAGCCUGGGUCGGUAUGGUUAGUUGGGGGGGUAAGGGCCUACCCGGGCGACGAUCCGUAACUGGUCUGAGAGGAGGAUCAGUCACACUGUAACGGAGACACGGUCCAGACUCCUACGGGAGGCAGCAGUGGGGAAUAUUGGACAAUGGGCGAAAGCCUGAUCCAGCCAUGCCGCGUGUGUGAAGAAGGUCUUCGGAUUGUAAAGCACUUUAAGUUGGGAGGCGUUACCAACAGAAUAAGCACCGGCUAACUUCGUGCCAGCCGCCGCGGUAAUUC
RNAcentral lists this ribosomal RNA (407 nucleotides) under uncultured bacterium. RNAcentral describes it as "partial 16S ribosomal RNA". It matches the Rfam family "Bacterial small subunit ribosomal RNA", at positions 30 to 526 of the family's 1533-position model. The record is from RNAcentral.